GACGAACCGUGCGAACGUUAUUCGGAAUCACUGGGCUUAAAGAGCGUGUAGGCGGCCUGACAGGUCUGCUGUGAAAACUCGAGGCUCAACCUCGAGAUGUCGGCGGAAACCGUCUGGCUAGAGUUCGGUAGGGGAGUCUGGAAUUCCUGGUGUAGCGGUGAAAUGCGCAGAUAUCAGGAGGAACACCGGUGGCGAAGGCGGGACUCUGGGCCGAUACUGACGCUGAGGAGCGAAAGCGUGGGGAGCAAACAGG
This 253-nucleotide ribosomal RNA is filed under the name uncultured bacterium. RNAcentral's name for it is "partial 16S ribosomal RNA". It matches the Rfam family "Bacterial small subunit ribosomal RNA", at positions 524 to 776 of the family's 1533-position model. The record is from RNAcentral.